CUCAAACGCUUCAAGAUGGUGAAUGCUAAAUUAUUUGAAUUUUGUCUCCAUCAAGAAAGAAGGAAAGCAAACAGGCUCUAAAUGGCAAAGGAAGGGAGGCACAGUGCAGAAACCUGAAGCUGUACGAUGUCUUCCAGGAACUGCAAACUAACCAGCUGGCAGGAGCAAGGCUGGUGUGUGGCCGUGUGCCAGGAAAGGGAUUUAGAAUUUAAUCUGAUGCCGACGGGCAGCGACGGUGGGUCUGAAGCAAGUAAACACAGUGGCCGGAUUUAGAGGCUGGGAAACGUCUUGAAGCUGCAAAGUUCUGGUGGUUCAAAAGCAUGGUGCUAGCCUCCACUUGGCUCUAGUGAGGACCUCAUGGAGGAUGACAUCACAAUGGUCCCAAGAGCUCCUGGGUGCUCCCAGGGAAGUGGUCACCAUCCAGACCUUAGCCUCGAUGCAAGGCAGAGCAGCCCUGGAGAGCCCAGUGUUGCCUUUAACUGAUGCGGCCUCUGAUCCCUACCACCCAGCCAUGUCUGCCACCUCUCAAUGCCACAGCCAGGACCUCGAACAUCACCACUGAGCAGAAGAGGCCUGAGAGGACCAGGGCAUAAGCCCCUAGCAACUGCACACCUCCUCUGUCCUGGGACAGUCCCAGGC
This is a long non-coding RNA of Heterocephalus glaber (naked mole-rat), 639 nucleotides long. Lineage: Eukaryota; Metazoa; Chordata; Mammalia; Rodentia; Bathyergidae. The record is from Ensembl.